AUGGAUGUCUGGGUGAUGCAGGAUUACGAUGCUGAAAUCUGGGCUUUCAAGUACCGGAUCGACCUCUCAACCGUGGAGGCAUCAAGGCAACUUUAUUCAACUUCUUUUGCAAAGAGAAGGAUAAGGUCACUUGAUUCUACGGUGCGAUUGUUGAACGAUGUGGCUGUGCUAAACAAGUGUGAGCUGCAGGUCAUGUUCAAUAAGAAGCAUGUGUUGCGCUGCGAUGUUGAUGGCAAGUUCCUAGGUGUUGUGAACAUUGGGAAGAGUCACUAUUGCAUGUUGCUUACUCACCACCGCCUACAGGAGAGCAUCGUUCCGAUUCCAGGUCAUGAUAUGAUGCAAGAAAAGCCGAGGAGCCUCCGUUCUCCACAGGGCAUGUCUGAAUGCUGUGCGUAUUAUCAGUGCUUCUAUGAUAGCGACAGGGCAGACCUGAAGCACAUAUUGGUCCAGUUUGUAGUCAAUCUGUAA
This 468-nucleotide ribosomal RNA is filed under the name Triticum aestivum (bread wheat). Its description in RNAcentral is "partial small subunit ribosomal RNA". Lineage: Eukaryota; Viridiplantae; Streptophyta; Magnoliopsida; Poales; Poaceae. The record is from RNAcentral.